Molecule: ribosomal RNA, 371 nt
Filed under: uncultured eukaryote
Lineage: Eukaryota
Description: SSU rRNA
Rfam family: Eukaryotic small subunit ribosomal RNA
Source: RNAcentral
AGCUCCAAUAGCGUAUAUUAAAGUUGUUGCAGUUAAAAAGCUCGUAGUUGGAUUUCUGGGAGAGUGCCAAUGUCCGCCGAUGCGCGUGCGCAGCGGCGCUCUUCCAUCCUUCUGUUAACGCCUCUUGGCAUUCAUUUGCUGGUGGCGGGCUCAGAUAUUUUACCUUGAGAAAAUUAGAGUGUUUCAGGCAGGCUAGGCCGGAAUACAUUAGCAUGGAAUAAUGGAAUAGGACUACGGUCUCUUUGUUGGUUUGAGGGACUGCAGUAAUGAUUAAUAGGGAUAGUUGGGGGCAUUAGUAUUUAAUUGUCAGAGGUGGAAUUCUCAGAUUUGUUAAAGACUAACUUAUGCGAAAGCAUUUGCCAAGGAUGUUU